RNAcentral lists this long non-coding RNA (784 nucleotides) under Mytilus galloprovincialis (Mediterranean mussel). Lineage: Eukaryota; Metazoa; Mollusca; Bivalvia; Mytilida; Mytilidae. The record is from RNAcentral.
CGCUGUGUAUAAGUGCACAGUAUUUGUGUAGGCUCUUCCAUCAAACUUCCUGUCGAUUUUUAUCCAACUAGUUCAAACCAGUUUAAUUUCGCAAAGUUGUUAAUUUCUAAAAUUCAAAAUUGAAACAGAAAUUAACAAAUUAAUUUAUUAACUAAAACACUAUUUGUGUCACAAUAUAACAGAAAAGUUAUAUUACAACAGUCUUUUCCUUUGAGGUCAAUUUCUGACGCGCACAUUUUCAAGUCAGUUGUCAGCGGUGGACGCACAAGGAGAAUCGGGUAGGUCUUUAUUUACUAAAUUAAUCGUAAAUAUUCCGCCGGUUAAUAUUGUAGCAUUGGUAAAUAUGUUCAUAUCUGAUAGAGGAUUCCUUGAUAAAGUUUUGCUGACAUUCGAGACUUGGCAGGAGGGGCCCUUUCAGUUUGACAGAUCUCCAUUUAUACUUGCGGUGGCUACACCUUGUAAAGUUGGUGCCCUUUGUGCAUCUGACGGUUUCAAAUGCUGUAUAACAUGAUGAUUAAAAUUAAUACUGGGUGACAAUCUUGUUGCAUUUGUAAAAUGGAUUGGAAACCUUGGUGGUAUAUUGGUAAUUACGCCUAUUUCUUUUUAUAGGAGAAUGGGGUUCGAUUCCCUGCUAGGGUCAAUCCAUUUUAUCAGAAAUAUGAAACAAUUUUGUCAUGUCAGUACAACAGUAAUAAUAACCUAUACUUUAUUUUAUAUUUUAUCGUCGGAACAUAUGUUUCAAUGAAAUUAUUAUAUACAAUGACAUGCCUUUUUAACAGGAGAG